RNAcentral lists this long non-coding RNA (2909 nucleotides) under Solanum tuberosum (potato). RNAcentral's name for it is "long non-coding RNA (STUB_LNC008620)". The record is from RNAcentral. Lineage: Eukaryota; Viridiplantae; Streptophyta; Magnoliopsida; Solanales; Solanaceae.
UUCCAUCAAGAGACAGUUACGGAGUGGUCAGCUAAACUUAACAAAUCUUUUGACUUGUACCUUUACCUUGAGUUGUUAGACGUAUAAAUCUGAUUCUGCAUUGUCUGCAAAUCGUGGCACUCUAUGGCCACCAACGACAAUUUUAACAGUAAUUUACCUAGGUUUACAUGGCUAAUGCUAGCUGAGGAGGAUGAUGAUAAAACAUGUAGAAGAUUCUUCAGUCUCUAUUAUGGGAUGAUUUUGAAGAAGAGGAUUCCAGAAGCCACACGAAAACGAUGUAUGAAGUCUAUGGGAUGGCAUUUCACUAUCAGAAAAGACGAGGGUGAAAUCAAUCUGUUACAUUGCAUCUCUGGUUCAAAAUACCACCAAACAUUAUAGACCCAGAACCAUGGACCUUAAUCCGUAAAGGAGUUCUGUCAGCUAAUCCUUCUCAUACACCUAUGUUGUUCUCAUGGAAGUUCCAAUUUGCACAAUGAUUCAUCGCCACAAGACAAGUAGGAUUUCCAACUGUGUACCUGGAAGGAGGUUUCCAGGUCUAGCCUGAUUACUAAACAUUUGACGAUAAUCAAUUCAAAGAACCUACAGAAUGAAUACAAUUAUCACACCUUCAGGAAGAAGUCUGUGGGCACCACCAGAUAACUCCUGCAGAGUAUGCAAACCCAUGGCUUUGUCAACUGCUAUGAGAGAGGAGUAAUGGCUCCAUGCUUAUGUCAACCAGCCUCUUGAGAGCUAGACGCUAUUCAUGGUGCAACAAAAAAAAAUUGACAAUCAAGUCAGUCUCACAGCUUCAGUAAACAAAAUUUAAUACAUGCUAUUUUCUACACAACACCAUCAUUUUAAAUCCCUCUUAAACAAAGCCAGCAACCAAAUGGGCUAAGCCUGCACCUUCUGCAUUUCGAAGGAAGUACAUGUUCUUUGCCAAACUGAUUUUGUUAAGUUCAAUUUAUAACUUGAAUAUCCGGUCGAGUCAGUGAGCUAAUUUUGAACUUCACAAUUGGUAAAAGGGGCAGACACUGUCUUCAGAAAAAGCAAGUAAUGCCUGCAUAAGGGGAACUUGUCAUAUGCAGCUUCAGCCUAGUAAAAAGACUGCAAUUUAGACUUUCACAGCCCCCAGGUUACAAAUGUCAAAUGUGUGAGGUCCCAACUUCAGACAGGCAAUACAUUAACUCGAUACCACAAUAUCUGAAAAGAUACAUCGACAAAAUGUAAAUUUACUUGCUUGUAUGUGUUGGGGUUAAAAUUCCUGAGAAUCUUCAGGUGAUUGGAUCUUUUAAGAAAAAUGACCUAACAAUAAGAUUACAUAAUUUAUCACCUUUAAAAAAAUAUGGAAUAUGUUUUAGAAUAAUAUUAGCACGUACUCUUAUCUGUUUUUAAAUAAACAUGAACUUUGCACUCCAAACUACUAUUGUUUAGAUAAUUAUAUAGUUCAAUUGAGGUAAAUUAAUAAUCUCCCAAGAGACCAAUUAUGCAACAGAUAUUUAGUAAUUGAGACUUCAGGUAAUUUAAUCUACUAAAGGAGCUUACUAAUAAGAGGUGGUUUUUCUUUUUCGUUCAAUCAGGGUAAUCUGAUAUUUUUGGCCAUGUAAUCCCCUCCCCAUUUCCCCUUCCCCCACCCCCAAAUAAAAAAUAAAAAAAUCCAUGAAACCAAAUAAAGAAGAAAAACCCUUUCCCUAGUGACAACAAGUACCCCUCCACACACACACCAGAUCACUAUGGUCAGAUAUAAACUAAACUGCUGAAUGCAUCACAUAAUCUGAAAAUACAGACCAUUUAAGGUAACAGCACCUUGAGAAUUUUACCAGAACGAGAGUAUGUGCAGAGGCCUGCUCUAAGGUCCAAAUGAUGGGAUGGUACAGGGGACAUAAUACUGUUAUCUACCAGUAUAAGAGAGAGAGAAAGUUUGAUUGAUAAGGGCAUUCUGUGAAUGGAGGAAUUGGCACAAAAGCAAUUUUCUGAAAAGGAUCAGGUAGGAGAAAAAACGUAUAAGAAAAUGAAGUAAUUAUCUACUGAAAUUUAAUAACAACAUACCAUGUGAAAUUCCAUGAGUAGGAUCUGGGGAGGGUCGAAUGUACUCAGACCUUACCCCUACCUUGUGGAGGUAGAGACGAAACAAAAGUGAAUGGAGAUGCGGGGGAUCGAACCCCGUACCUCUCGCAUGCAAAGCGAGCGCUCUACCAUUUGAGCUACAUCCCCUAUUAUCUAUUGAAUUUAAUAGACUUCAACAAAUCAGCAGCCACGAAAACACAAACAAUACUUUCAAAUUCAAGAGAAACGAAACUUGCUGCCAAAGGAGCAAUAACGAGUAGUCUCCCACAUAUACAUAUUUUUGUCCUCCAAAUUGUACUCCAACAUAAUUAUUACCAAAUCCACCAAAGAACGACACGUAUGCUAUAGAAGGGAAUAAAAUGGCAAAAUUUCUGUUUAGAAUUAUAAAGCAGUGGAAUUUCCUGAGUAAAUAGCAAAGUGUUACAACCCUCGCUAAACAUUCCAUCUCAACCACAUAAACAUAAAACUAUAUACACAUAGUUUGGUACUUGUAAUAUAAGAAUCAUUAAAGAAAGUGAACAUAAUCUAAAGCAGAUGACUAGAUGCACAAAGUAUUUAUUAAAAACAGAAAAUCAAUGAAAAAAACGAAACUUUAAAAAGAAAAGGGAGAAAAAGAAAACAAACCUGGGGCUCAGUUGUGUAGGCAGAGGACAAUUGAAACUAACGAGAUGCAAUGUUGAGAGCUAAGACAGAAAGAGAGCCAUCAACAAUAAAGAAAAAUCAAAACGAAGGGAGAAAAGAUAAAGAUAGAGUUAGGGAGAGAUGUUUCGGAUUACCUGGUGACAACAGCCGGUGACGGAGACAUCGUCGCCAAUGAUUGGAUAUUAGUCAGCUUGAGAACUCCUCUUUUUGAUGAGUCUUCC